Molecule: transfer RNA, 71 nt
Filed under: Hemibagrus spilopterus
Lineage: Eukaryota; Metazoa; Chordata; Actinopteri; Siluriformes; Bagridae
Description: tRNA-Gln
Rfam family: tRNA
About the family: Transfer RNA (tRNA) molecules are approximately 80 nucleotides in length.
Source: RNAcentral
UAGAAAAUGGUGUAGUGGAAACACUUGGAGUUUUGAUCUCCAGAAUAUGGGUUCGAGUCCCUUUUUUUCAA